Molecule: non-coding RNA, 297 nt
Organism: Pogona vitticeps (central bearded dragon)
Lineage: Eukaryota; Metazoa; Chordata; Lepidosauria; Squamata; Agamidae
Source: RefSeq, a predicted model, not a curated record
AAACUGGGGGGAGUUGUGUUCAGACAACACGCGGAGUCCCACGUGUGUCCCAUCUCUGUGUUAAAUAGUCUGGUGUGUGGGGGAGGCAGAGGACCAACAGACGCUUUGAAGAGGAGUUCCCCGCACCCUCAUGACAAAGCCCUCGUGUUGUGUUCUCUCCUCAGGAAGGCCCGGACAGCUGUGGUGUUUGGCAGGAAAGCCUCUGAAUCUGGUUUCCCCACUUUGGAGCCGGAGGUUCUGCGAGACGUCCGGGAAGCCUGUCAGCUCCGCUUCCAGUUUCUCAAGACCCUCUUCGAG